CCUACGGGUGGCAGCAGUGGGGGAUAUUGCACAAUGGGGGGAACCCUGAUGCAGCGACGCCGCGUGGGUGAAGGAGCGUUUCGGCGCGUAAAGCCCUAUCGGCAGGGAAGAAGAUGACGGUACCUGGCCAAGAAGCCCCGGCUAACUACGUGCCAGCAGCCGCGGUAAUACGUAGGGGGCAAGCGUUAUCCGGAUUUACUGGGUGUAAAGGGGGCGCAGACGGCAAUGCAAGCCAGGAGUGAAAGCCCGGGGCCCAACCCCGGGACUGCUCUUGGAACUGCCUUUGAAACUGUCAAACUGGAGUAUGUGAGAGGGCGGCGGAAUUCCUGGUGUAGGAGUGAAAUCCGUAGAUAUCAGGAGGAACAUCAGUGGCGAAGGCGGCCGCCUGGCACAAAACUGACGCUGAGGUGCGAAAGCGUGGGUAGCAAACAGGAUUAGAUACCCCAGUAGUC
Molecule: ribosomal RNA, 452 nt
Filed under: uncultured bacterium
Lineage: Bacteria
Description: partial 16S ribosomal RNA
Rfam family: Bacterial small subunit ribosomal RNA
Source: RNAcentral